Molecule: ribosomal RNA, 676 nt
Filed under: uncultured bacterium
Lineage: Bacteria
Description: bacterial SSU rRNA
Rfam family: Bacterial small subunit ribosomal RNA
Source: RNAcentral
GUCGAACGAGAACGGAUUAUAGCUUGCUAUAAUUGUCAGCUAAGUGGCGCACGGGUGAGUAAUAUAUAGAUAACCUGCCCUCUAGAAAGGAAUAACAGUUGGAAACGACUGCUAAUGCCCUAUAUGCCUUUAAUACAUAAGUAUGCAAGGGAAACGCUUUAGUGCUAGAGGAUGGGUCUGUAUGGUAUCAGUUAGUUGGUGAGGUAAUGGCUCACCAAGACUAUGACGCCUAACUGGUUUGAGAGGAUGAUCAGUCACACUGGAACUGAGACACGGUCCAGACUCCUACGGGAGGCAGCAGUGGGGAAUAUUGCACAAUGGACGAAAGUCUGAUGCAGCAACGCCGCGUGGAGGAUGACACAUUUCGGUGCGUAAACUCCUUUUAUAUAGGAAGAUAAUGACGGUACUAUAUGAAUAAGCACCGGCUAACUCCGUGCCAGCAGCCGCGGUAAUACGGAGGGUGCAAGCGUUACUCGGAAUCACUGGGCGUAAAGAGCGUGUAGGCGGAUAUAUAAGUCAGAAGUGAAAUCCAAUAGCUUAACUGUUGAACUGCUUUUGAAACUGUGUAUCUAGAAUGUGGGAGAGGUAGAUGGAAUUUCUGGUGUAGGGGUAAAAUCCGUAGAGAUCAGAAGGAAUACCGAUUGCGAAGGCGAUCUACUGGAACUUAUUGACGCUG